This 70-nucleotide transfer RNA is filed under the name Eucryptotermes sp. n. nr. breviceps. Its description in RNAcentral is "tRNA-Trp". The record is from RNAcentral. Lineage: Eukaryota; Metazoa; Arthropoda; Insecta; Blattodea; Kalotermitidae.
AAGGCUUUAAGUUAACGAUUAAACUAAUAACCUUCAAAGCUAUAAAUAAAGAAAGUAUCUUUAAGCCUUA